ACAGCAGUCGCCGCGGGAAUACGGAGGGUGCAAGCGUUAAUCGGAAUUACUGGGCGUAAAGCGUGCGUAGGCGGUGAGUUAAGUCUGCUGUGAAAUCCCCGGGCUCAACCUGGGAAUGGCAGUGGAUACUGGCUCGCUAGAGUGUGUCAGAGGAUGGUGGAAUUCCCGGUGUAGCGGUGAAAUGCGUAGAGAUCGGGAGGAACAUCAGUGGCGAAGGCGGCCAUCCGGGACAACACUGACGCUGAGGCACGAAAGCGUGGGGAGCAAACAGGAUUAGAUACCCUGGUAGUCCCUGUCUCUUAUAC
This 305-nucleotide ribosomal RNA is filed under the name uncultured bacterium. Its description in RNAcentral is "partial 16S ribosomal RNA". It matches the Rfam family "Bacterial small subunit ribosomal RNA", at positions 508 to 807 of the family's 1533-position model. The record is from RNAcentral.